This 1327-nucleotide unclassified non-coding RNA is filed under the name Pogonomyrmex barbatus (red harvester ant). RNAcentral's name for it is "uncharacterized LOC105422873, transcript variant X2". Lineage: Eukaryota; Metazoa; Arthropoda; Insecta; Hymenoptera; Formicidae. The record is from RNAcentral.
UAACGAUCGGAUUAUAUUGAUAGAAUUGUAUUUUCCAGAUAUCUAACGUUGUCGGUUGAGAAUCUCUGCUUGAGGGAAUCGUACUGAUAAGAAUGAAUUAUGCAGAUGAAUGUUGCGGCGAUGUCGCCGAUGUAUCAAACCGCCUCAACUAGCUCAUUCUCCUUCGUUAUCUAUUCAUUGACGAGCCCGACGUGCGCGACGUGAUCGUGGACCAGAAAUCCGGACUGUUCCCAUGUUCCACUUAUAGCAUUUGGUCCAAUCGCACGCGUCUGACUUUAGACGACGUCUGAUAGCCCCAGAGUCAACAUUACUCUCGAUAACGAUCGCGCGCAAACAUUUCUAUAUUUAUACGUUGAAAGCUCUGCGGGCAACUGGAUGUGCCCGCUCCUUCGGAUUUGUCGUUACUAAUCGUGCCAUCAAAGCCUUCCCGCUAUUUCCACAAGUGUAUUUGCAUCGUUCACUUGGAUAUGUCAAGUUGACGUUCAUUAAACGUUCCUGGAGAAGCUCGCUCUGGUACCGCUACACCGUCUGGUAAUACGCACAUUUGUCGCGAUAGAUAUCUAACAACCUCUGAAUAAAUCAGCGAUUUCGUGGGAAGGCCAUUCUCAUUGACAUACAUAUAUUGCCAGAAAUGCGUAGUCAUUAUACAUAAAAAAAAAUUACUAGCAUGAUGAAUACAAUAUGUCAUUACACUUCUCACGCACAAUAUAAAUUUGUACUAAUUAUAAGGCUCAAAGAGCUACCAGAACGAGGAACGAGGAUGUCAAAAGAAGACCGAUUUCGAGAAGCCGCAAGGUGGUCAGCUUGGUAUUCGGCACCGUUGCUAGUCGCCAGCGAGGAAACGGCGUCGCCCGGCUUCGCCACGGAGAACCCGGUAAGCCAUGACGAGGAAGGCCAGGGGUGGACGAGGGGCAACUUAAUGACGCCGCAUCCGGGAGUCGCCAGGACAUUGUACCUCGCAAAAAAGGACCUUAUAACGCGUCUACACAGCUGGACCCGCAUACUACGCUCGUCCGUGCUCGAAUGGGAGACCCCGAUCCAUUAACGGGCCGGCGCGAACAUUAAUAAUCCGCGCCUUCUCGCCCGGAUUGCUGGUGCGGACGCGCGAGCUGCAAGGUGGUGGCAACCUUGCCCAGAUGGAGUCAAUAAAUCAGAUUCGGGAAUGCCAUGCUAGAUUAGGCCCGGUUUUUGUCGAGCCGCUGAGUAACAGCUGAUGACGAGUGAGAGAGAGCGCAGGUUGAAAGUCGAUAUGUAUGAACAUAAUUGAAGCUGCAUAAAUAUUAGAGAAGUACGAGGAAUUGACAUGCGUGUUAAAUAAAAACACUUU